Molecule: microRNA precursor, 103 nt
Filed under: Marmota monax (woodchuck)
Lineage: Eukaryota; Metazoa; Chordata; Mammalia; Rodentia; Sciuridae
Source: RNAcentral
AUGUGUAUCCAUCAGUCAUCUUGUUGAAAUGCAGAUUCUGAUUCACCCUGUCUGUGGUGGGCCAUGAUUCUUCAUUUCCAACCAGCUCCAGGAGGAUCCCAUG